CCAGAUCUACAGAUUCAACAUAGUCCCUGUGGAGAGAAAUGGUAAAAAAAAAAUCACCUUCCAGAGAGACAUUCUGGAUCCUCUCUGGAGCAACUCUUACGGAAUGCUCAUCUACAGGUGCGAUUGCAUCAUUCACCUGCAGGAUAGUCACGUCAGGUGACUGACUAUUUCUAAAAUGUACCUCAAUCGAGUCAGGUCUUUCUUCUAUCACAUGGCAAUUACGAUCAGAUUGAACAUGUGAUUUCUUAUAGGUUAU
This is a non-coding RNA of Pelobates cultripes (western spadefoot toad), 256 nucleotides long. The record is from the annotation of a GenBank genome assembly. Lineage: Eukaryota; Metazoa; Chordata; Amphibia; Anura; Pelobatidae.